GAGUUUGAUCCUGGCUCAGAUUGAACGCUGGCGGCAUGCCUUACACAUGCAAGUCGAACGGUAACAGGUCUUCGGAUGCUGACGAGUGGCGAACGGGUGAGUAAUACAUCGGAACGUGCCCAGACGUGGGGGGAUAACGAGGCGAAAGCUUUGCUAAUACCGCAUACGAUCUAAGGAUGAAAGCAGGGGACCGCAAGGCCUUGCGCGUUUGGAGCGGCCGAUGGCAGAUUAGGUAGUUGGUGGGAUAAAAGCUUACCAAGCCGACGAUCUGUAGCUGGUCUGAGAGGACGACCAGCCACACUGGGACUGAGACACGGCCCAGACUCCUACGGGAGGCAGCAGUGGGGAAUUUUGGACAAUGGGCGAAAGCCUGAUCCAGCAAUGCCGCGUGCAGGAUGAAGGCCUUCGGUUGUAACGUAGCUUUGUUACGGUAACGAAAGGACGUACUGGCUAAUACCUAGGGCGACGAUGACGGUACC
Molecule: ribosomal RNA, 479 nt
Filed under: uncultured microorganism
Description: bacterial SSU rRNA
Rfam family: Bacterial small subunit ribosomal RNA
Source: RNAcentral